Non-coding RNA from Armillaria mellea, 129 nucleotides. The record is from the annotation of a GenBank genome assembly. Lineage: Eukaryota; Fungi; Basidiomycota; Agaricomycetes; Agaricales; Physalacriaceae.
GACCCCUUAGCUCAGUGGUAGAGCGUGUGAUUCCAGCUUUGGUUUGAUAUCUGGGUGCAAUCUUAGCGAAAUGUCCUACGAAACCAAUGCCACUCCACAAGGUCAAGCGUUCAACUCGCUUAGGGGUCA